Molecule: ribosomal RNA, 1956 nt
Filed under: human gut metagenome
Description: bacterial LSU rRNA
Rfam family: Bacterial large subunit ribosomal RNA
Source: RNAcentral
UUAAGUUAAUAAGGGCGCACGGUGGAUGCCUUGGCACUAGAAGCCGAUGAAGGACGUGACUAACGACGAAAUGCUUUGGGGAGCUGUAAGUGAGCAAUGAUCCAGAGAUGUCCGAAUGGGGGAACCCGGCAGGUAAUGCCUGUCACUCAUUACUGUUAAGGUAAUGUAGAGGAAGACGCAGUGAACUGAAACAUCUAAGUAGCUGCAGGAAGAGAAAGCAAAAGCGAUUGCCUUAGUAGCGGCGAGCGAAACGGCAAGAGGGCAAACCGAAGAGUUUACUCUUCGGGGUUGUAGGACUGCAACGUGGACUUAAAGAUUAUAGAAGAACUACCUGGGAAGGUAGGCCAAAGAGAGUAAUAGCCUCGUAUUCGAAAUAGUCUUUAUACCUAGCAGUAUCCUGAGUACGGCGAGACACGAGAAAUCUCGUCGGAAUCUGGGAGGACCAUCUCCCAACCCUAAAUACUCUCUAGUGACCGAUAGUGAACCAGUACCGUGAGGGAAAGGUGAAAAGCACCCCGGGAGGGGAGUGAAAUAGAACCUGAAACCGUGUGCCUACAACAAGUUCGAGCCCGUUAAUGGGUGAGAGCGUGCCUUUUGUAGAAUGAACCGGCGAGUUACGAUAUGAUGCGAGGUUAAGUUGAAGAGACGGAGCCGUAGGGAAACCGAGUCUUAAUAGGGCGCAUUAGUAUCAUGUCGUAGACCCGAAACCAUGUGACCUACCCAUGAGCAGGUUGAAGGUGAGGUAAAACUCACUGGAGGACCGAACCAGGGCACGUUGAAAAGUGCUUGGAUGACUUGUGGGUAGCGGAGAAAUUCCAAACGAACUUGGAGAUAGCUGGUUCUCUCCGAAAUAGCUUUAGGGCUAGCGUCGAUGUUAAGUCUCUUGGAGGUAGAGCACUGUUUGGGUGAGGGGUCCAUCCCGGAUUACCAAUCUCAGAUAAACUCCGAAUGCCAACGAGAUAUAAUCGGCAGUCAGACUGCGAGUGCUAAGAUCCGUAGUCGAAAGGGAAACAGCCCAGACCACCAGCUAAGGUCCCAAAAUAUAUGUUAAGUGGAAAAGGAUGUGGGGUUGCACAGACAACUAGGAUGUUAGCUUAGAAGCAGCUAUUCAUUCAAAGAGUGCGUAAUAGCUCACUAGUCGAGUGACCCUGCGCCGAAAAUGUACCGGGGCUAAAACAUAUUACCGAAGCUGUGGAUACCUUUAUAGGUAUGGUAGGAGAGCGUUCUAUGUGCGAAGAAGGUGUACCGUGAGGAGUGCUGGAGCGCAUAGAAGUGAGAAUGCCGGUAUGAGUAGCGAAAGACAGGUGAGAAUCCUGUCCACCGUAAGACUAAGGUUUCCAGGGGAAGGCUCGUCCGCCCUGGGUUAGUCGGGACCUAAGGAGAGACCGAAAGGUGUAUCCGAUGGACAACAGGUUGAUAUUCCUGUACUAGAGUAUAUAGUGAUGGAGGGACGCAGUAGGCUAACUAAACCAGACGAUUGGAAGUGUCUGGCCAAGCAGUGAGGUGUGAUAUGAGUCAAAUGCUUAUAUCUAUAACAUUGAGCUGUGAUGGGGAGCGAAGUUUAGUAGCGAAGUUAGUGAUGUCACACUGCCGAGAAAAGCUUCUAGCGUUAAUUAUACUCUACCCGUACCGCAAACCGACACAGGUAGUCGAGGCGAGUAGCCUCAGGUGAGCGAGAGAACUCUCGUUAAGGAACUCGGCAAAAUGGCCCCGUAACUUCGGGAGAAGGGGCGCUGACUUAUGGUCAGCCGCAGUGAAUAGGCCCAAGCAACUGUUUAUCAAAAACACAGCUCUCUGCUAAAUCGUAAGAUGAUGUAUAGGGGGUGACGCCUGCCCGGUGCUGGAAGGUUAAGAGGAGUGCUUAGCGUAAGCGAAGGCAUGAAUUGAAGCCCCAGUAAACGGCGGCCGUAACUAUAACGGUCCUAAGGUAGCGAAAUUCCUUGUCGGGUAAGUUCC